UGGGGAAUUUUGCGCAAUGGGGGAAACCCUGACGCAGCAACGCCGCGUGGAGGAUGAAAUCCCUUGGGAUGUAAACUCCUUUCGAUCGGGACGAUUAUGACGGUACCGGAAGAAGAAGCCCCGGCUAACUUCGUGCCAGCAGCCGCGGUAAUACGAGGGGGGCAAGCGUUGUUCGGAAUUAUUGGGCGUAAAGGGUGUGUAGGCGGUUUGGUAAGUCGUGUGUGAAAUCUUCGGGCUCAACCCGAAGUCUGCACACGAAACUGCCGGGCUUGAGUAUGGGAGAGGUGAGUGGAAUUCCUGGUGUAGCGGUGAAAUGCGUAGAUAUCAGGAGGAACACCUGUGGCGAAAGCGGCUCACUGGACCAUUACUGACGCUGAAACACGAAAGCUAGGGGAGCAAACAGGAUUAGAUACCCUGGUAGUCCUAGCCCUAAACGAUGACUGCUUGGUGUGGCGGGUACCCAAUCCCGCCGUGCCGUAGCUAACGCGUUAAGCAGUCCGCCUGGGGAGUACGGUCGCAAGGCUG
Molecule: ribosomal RNA, 525 nt
Filed under: uncultured bacterium
Lineage: Bacteria
Description: bacterial SSU rRNA
Rfam family: Bacterial small subunit ribosomal RNA
Source: RNAcentral